AAUAGAUACCCCGGUAGUCCACGCCGUAAACGAUGAGUGCUAAGUGUUAGGGGGUUUCCGCCCCUUAGUGCUGCAGCUAACGCAUUAAGCACUCCGCCUGGGGAGUACGGUCGCAAGACUGAAACUCAAAGGAAUUGACGGGGGCCCGCACAAGCGGUGGAGCAUGUGGUUUAAUUCGAAGCAACGCGAAGAACCUUACCAGGUCUUGACAUCCCAUUGACCACUAUGGAGACAUAGUUUUCCCUUCGGGGACAACGGUGACAGGUGGUGCAUGGUUGUCGUCAGCUCGUGUCGUGAGAUGUUGGGUUAAGUCCCGCAACGAGCGCAACCCUUGUUCUUAGUUGCCAUCAUUUAGUUGGGCACUCUAAGGAGACUGCCGGUGACAAACCGGAGGAAGGUGGGGAUGACGUCAAAUCAUCAUGCCCCUUAUGACCUGGGCUACACACGUGCUACAAUGGACGGUACAAACGGUUGCCAACCCGCGAGGGGGGAGCUAAUCCGAUAAAACCGUUCUCAGUUCGGAUUGUAGGCUGCAACUCGCCUACAUGAAGCC
Molecule: ribosomal RNA, 553 nt
Filed under: uncultured bacterium
Lineage: Bacteria
Description: bacterial SSU rRNA
Rfam family: Bacterial small subunit ribosomal RNA
Source: RNAcentral